UUCCGGUUGAUCCUGCCGGACCUUACUGCUAUCGGGGUGGGACUAAGACAUGCGAGUCGAGCGUCUCUAGCUAUGUUGAGACGCGGCAGACGGCUCAGUAACACGUGGCUAACCUACCCUCAGGACGAGGAUAAACCCGGGAAACUGGGGCUAAUACUCGAUAGGUGAGAAUGUCUGGAAUGAUUUCUCACUCAAAGGGCCUUGGGAACAUGCUUCCAAUGUCGCCUGGGGAUGGGGCCGCGUCCGAUCAGGUUGUUGGUGAGGUAGUGGCUCACCAAGCCUAUAACCGGUACGGGCCGUGAGAGCGGUAGCCCGGAGAUGGGUACUGAGACAAGGACCCAGGCCCUACGGGGCGCAGCAGUCGCGAAAACUCCGCAAUGCACGAAAGUGUGACGGGGCUACCCCGAGUGCCAUCCGCUGAGGGUGGCUUUUCUUUGGUAUAACUAGCCGAGGGAAUAAGGAGAGGGCAAGACUGGUGUCAGCCGCCGCGGUAAUACCAGCUCUCCGAGUGGUAGGGAUGAUUAUUGGGCCUAAAGCGUCCGUAGCCGGCUUAGCAAGUCUCCUGUUAAAUUCAGCGACCUAAUCGUUGAGCCGCGGGAGAUACUAUUAGGCUAGGAGGCGGGAGAGGUCGACGGUACUUCUGGGGUAGGGGUGAAAUCCUAUAAUCCCGGGAGGACCACCAGUGGCGAAGGCUGUCGACUAGAACGCGCUCGACGGUGAGGGACGAAAGCUGGGGGAGCGAACCGGAUUAGAUACCCGGGUAGUCCCAGCCGUAAACGAUGCGGGCUACGUGUUGGAAUGGCUACGUGCCAUUUCAGUGCCGCAGGGAAGCCAUUAAGCCCGCCGCCUGGGGAGUACGGCCGCAGGCUGAAACUUAAAGGAAUUGGCGGGGGAGCACCACAAGGCGUGAAGCUUGCAGUUCAAUUGAAGUCAACGCGG
Molecule: ribosomal RNA, 939 nt
Filed under: uncultured archaeon
Lineage: Archaea
Description: bacterial SSU rRNA
Rfam family: Archaeal small subunit ribosomal RNA
Source: RNAcentral